RNAcentral lists this transfer RNA (78 nucleotides) under Fibrella sp. Its description in RNAcentral is "tRNA-Val". It matches the Rfam family "tRNA". From Rfam's summary of the family: Transfer RNA (tRNA) molecules are approximately 80 nucleotides in length. Their secondary structure includes four short double-helical elements and three loops (D, anti-codon, and T loops). The record is from RNAcentral. Lineage: Bacteria; Pseudomonadati; Bacteroidota; Cytophagia; Cytophagales; Spirosomataceae.
GGGAGCUUAGCUCAGUUGGUUCAGAGCAUCUCGUUUACACCGAGAGGGUCGGCGGUUCGAGCCCGUCAGUUCCCACCA